Molecule: unclassified non-coding RNA, 345 nt
Filed under: soil metagenome
Description: partial contains 5.8S ribosomal RNA, internal transcribed spacer 2, and large subunit ribosomal RNA
Rfam family: 5.8S ribosomal RNA (bases 1-120)
Source: RNAcentral
GAUGAAGAACGCAGCGAAAUGCGAUACGUAAUGUGAAUUGCAGAAUUCAGUGAAUCAUCGAGUCUUUGAACGCACAUUGCGCCCCCUGGUAUUCCGGGGGGCAUGCCUGUCCGAGCGUCAUUGCUGCCCUCAAGCACGGCUUGUGUGUUGGGCCUCCGUCCUCCUCCCGGGGGACGGGCCCGAAAGGCAGCGGCGGCACCGCGUCCGGUCCUCGAGCGUAUGGGGCUUCGUCACCCGCUCUUGUAGGCCCGGCCGGCGCUUGCCGACACAUCAAUCUUUUUUCCAGGUUGGCCUCGGAUCAGGUAGGGAUACCCGCUGAACUUAAGCAUAUCAAUAAGCGGAGGA